RNAcentral lists this transfer RNA (63 nucleotides) under Rhinocola aceris. Its description in RNAcentral is "tRNA-Cys". The record is from RNAcentral. Lineage: Eukaryota; Metazoa; Arthropoda; Insecta; Hemiptera; Aphalaridae.
AAGCUUUUUAUUCAAGUAUGAUUUUAGAUUGCAAAUUUAAAGGUGAGUUAUUUUUCGUAAGCU